UACGGAGGGUGCAAGCGUUGUUCGGAUUUACUGGGCGUAAAGCGCGUGUAGGUGGUGGGACAAGUCUGCUGUGAAAGCGCCUGGCUUAACCGGGCGAGGUCGGCGGAAACUGUCCGACUCGAGGACGGUAGAGGGGGGGUGGAAUUCCCGGUGUAGUGGUGAAAUGCGUAGAGAUCGGGAGGAACACCUGUGGCGAAGGCGGCCCCCUGGGCCGGCCCUGACACUGAGACGCGAAGGCGUGGGGGAGCGAACGGG
Molecule: ribosomal RNA, 255 nt
Filed under: uncultured bacterium
Lineage: Bacteria
Description: partial 16S ribosomal RNA
Rfam family: Bacterial small subunit ribosomal RNA
Source: RNAcentral